CGUCGAGUGGAGCAGUCCGGUAGCUCGUCAGGCUCAUAACCUGGAGGUCCGCGGUUCGAAUCCGCGCUCGGCAACCA
Molecule: transfer RNA, 77 nt
Filed under: Methylobacterium radiotolerans
Lineage: Bacteria; Pseudomonadati; Pseudomonadota; Alphaproteobacteria; Hyphomicrobiales; Methylobacteriaceae
Description: tRNA-Met
Rfam family: tRNA
About the family: Transfer RNA (tRNA) molecules are approximately 80 nucleotides in length. Their secondary structure includes four short double-helical elements and three loops (D, anti-codon, and T loops).
Source: RNAcentral